Nerophis ophidion (straightnose pipefish) is the source of this 414-nucleotide long non-coding RNA. RefSeq lists it as uncharacterized. The transcript has 3 exons. NCBI's taxonomy places the organism in Eukaryota, Metazoa, Chordata, Actinopteri, Syngnathiformes, Syngnathidae. The record is from RefSeq and is a predicted model, not a curated record.
AAAGGAACAUUUUUAUGGAGAAUUAAAACUAUUCAGAGAUGCAGUGCUAAAGAAAGGCGAUCAUCAUUUGGAGCUUUGGCGGAAGGACCAUCUGAUGAAGACAAGUCGGGAGGACCAACUGUUGGACGAGUUACCCAAUUCCAUCCAGAGAUUUUCCUGUCUUGGAAGCGAUGUCACUGAUGAAACAUUCGGCUGACGUGGACAUGGUCAUCAAAAAGAUAAAGCUGACAUUUGCCCAUCGGCAUAACAUGGUCCUGGACCAACAGCAGUCAAGCAACAUUCUAUCUUAUUUUCCUCGUUUUAAAGACCUCAAUGGCUUGUUUGAACAGGAUUUUGUUCUAAUGUUUGGAGAGGAUUAAUCGUGCAACUUUCUGGAGAAGUGGUCAUCCACAUUCAAAAAGAAGAUCUUCCAAC